GUUGUAUAGUCAAGUAAUUAAGUGCAUGUGGUGGAUGCCUUGGCAGUCAGAGGCGAUGAAAGACGUGAUAGCCUGCGAAAAGCUCCGGGGAGGCGGCAAAUAUCCUUUGAUCCGGAGAUGUCUGAAUGGGGGAACCCACCUACUUUAAGGUAGGUAUUGCAACAUGAAUACAUAGUGUUGCAAGGCGAACGAGGGGAAGUGAAACAUCUCAGUACCCUUAGGAAAAGAAAUCAAUUGAGAUUCCCUCAGUAGCGGCGAGCGAACGGGGAUCAGCCCAUUAAGUUAUGUGUGUUUUAGUGGAACGCUCUGGGAAGUGCGAACGUAGAGGGUGAUAUUCCCGUACACGAAAGGGCACACAUAAUGAUGACGAGUAGGGCGAGGCACGUGAAACCUUGUCUGAAUAUGGGGGGACCAUCCUCCAAGGCUAAAUACUCCUGACUGACCGAUAGUGAACCAGUACCGUGAGGGAAAGGCGAAAAGAACCCCUGUGAGGGGAGUGAAAUAGAUCCUGAAACCGCAUGCAUACAAGCAGUGGGAGCACCUUCGUGGUGUGACUGCGUACCUUUUGUAUAAUGGGUCAGCGACUUAUAUUCAGUAGCAAGGUUAACCGUAUAGGGGAGCCGUAGAGAAAUCGAGUCUUAAUAGGGCGUUUAGUUGCUGGGUAUAGACCCGAAACCAGGCGAUCUAUCCAUGAGCAGGUUGAAGGUUGGGUAACACUAACUGGAGGACCGAACCCACUGUCGUUGAAAAGCCAGGGGAUGACUUGUGGAUAGGGGUGAAAGGCUAAUCAAGCCUGGUGAUAGCUGGUUCUCCCCGAAAGCUAUUUAGGUAGCGCCUCGGACGAAUACCAUAGGGGGUAGAGCACUGUUUCGGCUAGGGGGUCAUCCCGACUUACCAAACCGAUGCAAACUCCGAAUACCUAUGAGUACUAUCCGGGAGACAGACUGCGGGUGCUAACGUCCGUAGUCAAGAGGAAAACAAUCCAGACCGCCAGCUAAGGCCCCAAAAUCAUAGUUAAGUGGGAAACGAUGUGGGAAGGCAUAGACAGCUAGGAGGUUGGCUUAGAAGCAGCCACCCUUUAAAGAAAGCGUAAUAGCUCACUAGUCGAGUCGGCCUGCGCGGAAGAUGUAACGGGGCUAAAACUAUGUGCCGAAGCUGCGGAUNNNNNNNNNNNNNNNNNNNNNNNNNNNNNNNNNAUGCUGGAGGUAUCAGAAGUGCGAAUGCUGACGUGAGUAACGACAAAACGGGUGAAAAACCCGUUCGCCGAAAGACCAAGGGUUCCAGUCCAACGUUAAUCGGGGCUGGGUGAGUCGACCCCUAAGGCGAGGCCGAAAGGCGUAGUCGAUGGGAAAAUGGUUAAUAUUCCAUUACUUCUGUGUAAUGCGAUGAGAGGACGGAGAAGGCUAAAUCAGCCUGGCGUUGGUUGUCCAGGUGAAAGGAUGUAGGCAUGUAUCUUAGGCAAAUCCGGGGUACUCUAUGCUGAGAUCUGAUAGCAAGCUGUACUUGUACAGCGAAGUGGUUGAUGCCAUGCUUCCAGGAAAAGUCUCUAAGCUUCAGUUACACAGGAAUCGUACCCGAAACCGACACAGGUGGUCAGGUCGAGUAGACCAAGGCGCUUGAGAGAACUCUGCUGAAGGAACUAGGCAAAAUGGUACCGUAACUUCGGGAGAAGGUACGCUGUUGUUGGUGAUGGAACUCGCUUCCUGAGCUGACGACAGCCGCAGAAACCAGGCCGCUGCAACUGUUUAUUAAAAACAUAGCACUCUGCAAACACGAAAGUGGACGUAUAGGGUGUGAUGCCUGCCCGGUGCUGGAAGGUUAAUUGAUGGGGUUAGCGUAAGCGAAGCUCUUGAUCGAAGCCCCAGUAAACGGCGGCCGUAACUAUAACGGUCCUAAGGUAGCGAAAUUCCUUGUCGGGUAAGUUCCGACCUGCACGAAUGGCAUAAUGAUGGCGGCGCUGUCUCCAGCAGAGGCUCAGUGAAAUCGAAAUCGCUGUGAAGAUGCAGUGUACCCGCGGCUAGACGGAAAGACCCCGUGAACCUUUACUGCAGCUUGACACUGAACUUUGACCUUACUUGUGUAGGAUAGGUGGGAGGCUUUGAAGCUGGAACGCUAGUUCCAGUGGAGCCGUCCUUGAAAUACCACCCUGGUAAUGUUGAGGUUCUAACUCUGUCCCGUGAUCCGGGACGAGGACCGUGUCUGGUGGGUAGUUUGACUGGGGCGGUCUCCUCCUAAAGAGUAACGGAGGAGUACGAAGGUGCGCUCAGCGUGGUCGGAAAUCACGCGUAGAGUAUAAAGGCAAAAGCGCGCUUAACUGCGAGACCCACAAGUCGAGCAGGUACGAAAGUAGGUCUUAGUGAUCCGGUGGUUCUGUAUGGAAGGGCCAUCGCUCAACGGAUAAAAGGUACUCUGGGGAUAACAGGCUGAUACCGCCCAAGAGUUCAUAUCGACGGCGGUGUUUGGCACCUCGAUGUCGGCUCAUCUCAUCCUGGGGCUGAAGCAGGUCCCAAGGGUAUGGCUGUUCGCCAUUUAAAGAGGUACGCGAGCUGGGUUUAGAACGUCGUGAGACAGUUCGGUCCCUAUCUACCGUGGGCGCUGGAAAUUUGAGAGGAUCUGCUCCUAGUACGAGAGGACCAGAGUGGACGAACCUCUGGUGUACCGGUUGUGACGCCAGUCGCAUCGCCGGGUAGCUAUGUUCGGAAGGGAUAACCGCUGAAAGCAUCUAAGCGGGAAGCCUACCUCAAGAUAAGAUUUCCCUAGGACUUUAUGUCCUCUAAAGAGCCGUUCGAGACUAGGACGUUGAUAGGUUGGAUGUGGAAGCAUAGUGAUAUGUGAAGCUGACCAAUACUAAUUGCUCGUGAGGCUUGACUAUACAACACCCAAGCAGUUG
Molecule: ribosomal RNA, 2890 nt
Filed under: Acinetobacter baumannii
Lineage: Bacteria; Pseudomonadati; Pseudomonadota; Gammaproteobacteria; Moraxellales; Moraxellaceae
Description: 23S ribosomal RNA
Rfam family: Bacterial large subunit ribosomal RNA
Source: RNAcentral